GGAAAACCGAAAAGAUUUGAUCUUGGUGAAAUUUGGCGUAUGGAAAUGGCUAGUGUUCUGUUUUAUUGGUGGUGAAGUCAUCUUUGAUAAGAGGUGAACUGAGUUGAGUUGGGUUGAGUUUGGUGCGGACGAAUUGUGUGCAGAUAAGAGUGCUGAAGUACUUGAUAGCCACCUCUCUGCUAUCCAAAGGGAUCAUGAAAAGAGAUCCCUGAUUGAGGAGCAAAGAAUAAAGGACGAUGUAGCUAUUGAAGAAGCCAAACAGAAAGAAAAAGCCAUAUAUGAGGAAGAAGUGAGGCGAGAAAAGGCUAAGGCCAAAGCAGAGGCGAGAGAAAAAGCUACAAAAUUAGCAGAAGAACGAAGAUUAGCUCUCGAUACUGCAAAAAAGGAGGCUGAAGAAGCUGCAAGAAAGGAAGCUGAGAGAGAUGCUGCAGAAGCUGCAGAAAAGGCAGCUCAGAAUAAGGUCGGUAGUAGUGCACAAAAUGCAAGAGAAAGAAAGGAAGGAAGUUCAUCUUCUGAUGAAUCAGGGAUUAAAGUUAUGGCUGCAGACGCUGCACUUAAGUCAGAGGCAAACAGACUAAGAGAUUCCUAGUAUACCUCAGAAGGAAUUUGAAAAAUAUGGACGAAAGAUGUUUAGGAUAGUAAGCCAAAUAACCGGGACCUUUGAGGCUGUCAGUCAGGAAAUCCACCUGAUGUGGCAAAAAUGUUUCAUGAAACUUGAAAGAAAGCUAAUGAAACACUAGAUACUGGGGAUCAAGAUAAAUAUGAUGAAAUUAUUCAAAUCAAACAAACAAACCCUUCACUUUUUGACAUUGAGAUAGUUGAGAAAAUCUGAGGGAAGCAAUCUCAUGGUCACAUCACUAUAUUUGAUGGCGGGACAACUUUGAAAGAUUUGAGAGGACCACUCCCUAGUCGAUCUGAUCUGGAAGCACAGGUUAUAGAAAAAAAGAGAAAGAACCAGAUGCUUCAACAACGGCUAGAUGAGCAGGAGCAACAACAACAAAGGAUGUUUGAGUUGGAGUCACAAGCGAAAGCUAUGCAAGAACUUUUUUUUAGGCAAUCACCUUCAUUGACUCCUCAAACUCGAGAACGUGUGCAGGAUUAGGCUAUCCAUGCAAGAUUAGGAUG
Molecule: long non-coding RNA, 1125 nt
Organism: Asparagus officinalis (garden asparagus)
Lineage: Eukaryota; Viridiplantae; Streptophyta; Magnoliopsida; Asparagales; Asparagaceae
Exons: 9
Source: RefSeq, a predicted model, not a curated record